Molecule: ribosomal RNA, 464 nt
Filed under: Lactobacillus gasseri
Lineage: Bacteria; Bacillati; Bacillota; Bacilli; Lactobacillales; Lactobacillaceae
Description: bacterial SSU rRNA
Rfam family: Bacterial small subunit ribosomal RNA
Source: RNAcentral
UGACGGUAAUUACUUAGAAAGUCACGGCUAACUACGUGCCAGCAGCCGCGGUAAUACGUAGGUGGCAAGCGUUGUCCGGAUUUAUUGGGCGUAAAGCGAGUGCAGGCGGUUCAAUAAGUCUGAUGUGAAAGCCUUCGGCUCAACCGGAGAAUUGCAUCAGAAACUGUUGAACUUGAGUGCAGAAGAGGAGAGUGGAACUCCAUGUGUAGCGGUGGAAUGCGUAGAUAUAUGGAAGAACACCAGUGGCGAAGGCGGCUCUCUGGUCUGCAACUGACGCUGAGGCUCGAAAGCAUGGGUAGCGAACAGGAUUAGAUACCCUGGUAGUCCAUGCCGUAAACGAUGAGUGCUAAGUGUUGGGAAGUUUCCGCCUCUCAGUGCUGCAGCUAACGCAUUAAGCACUCCGCCCUGGGGAGUACGACCGCAAGGUUUGAAACUCAAAGGAAUUGACGGGGGCCCGCACAAGC